Poeciliopsis prolifica (blackstripe livebearer) is the source of this 656-nucleotide long non-coding RNA. RefSeq lists it as uncharacterized. The record is from RefSeq and is a predicted model, not a curated record. The transcript is spliced from 3 exons. Lineage: Eukaryota; Metazoa; Chordata; Actinopteri; Cyprinodontiformes; Poeciliidae.
UUUUUGUAAAUAGUUAUUGUUUAAAUCCAACUUAUAAGUUAGAAAGAGUGAUAAGUUUCAGAAAACUGAACUUCAGUUUUUCUGCUGUUAGAACCACUAAGAUCAGUUGGAACUGUUGCACUUUCUGGCAGUUGAUUGGCAGUUGUUUUCAGUUCAACUGAAGUGCCCUCCGUGUCUGGAAUGAGAGUCCCUGUCUAGUUGUUUUGAACGUGCCGCACUGAGAUCGAUCAGGGUUUUUUUUGUUGUUGUGUUGUUUUUGCUUUUUUGCUUUUUCUUCUCUUCUCCUGGAUUGUUCCUGGAGUGGAUUUCCCUACUGACUUUGAUGGCGAGCCUUCCCACCUGGACUUAGAAAGAUCUGGAUUUCCUCCCAUGAUGAGAGCCUUCCCACCUGGACUUAGAAAGAUCUGGAUUUCCUCCCAUGUUGAGUGAGACCUGAACCAGGAUUUAAUUUGAUUCAUUUGUCAUCUAAAAGAGAUUAGAGCGCAAACUACCAGGGUGCACCCAAUAGAUUUAAAUUUGAUAUUUAGCACUUGGCCAAGUAUUGUUGUUUUAUUUCAUGUAUUUUAUUGUGUGUAAUUUUAUUUUCUUAAUUGUAUGUCUUGUCCACUUGUGAGUUUAUGAUUCAUGUUACUAAAGCUAAUUGUUUUUUAAAUUCA